GGAUUAGAUACCCUGGUAGUCCACGCCGUAAACGAUGUCAACUAGCUGUUUGUGUUCUUGAAACGUGAGUAGCGUAGCUAACGCGCUAAGUUGACCGCCUGGGGAGUACGGCCGCAAGGUUAAAACUCAAAUGAAUUGACGGGGGCCCGCACAAGCGGUGGAGCAUGUGGUUUAAUUCGAUGCAACGCGAAGAACCUUACCAUCCCUUGACAUCCACAGGAGAGACUAGAGAUAGACUUGUGCCUUCGGGAACUGUGAGACAGGUGCUGCAUGGCUGUCGUCAGCUCGUGCCG
This 293-nucleotide ribosomal RNA is filed under the name uncultured bacterium. RNAcentral's name for it is "partial 16S ribosomal RNA". It matches the Rfam family "Bacterial small subunit ribosomal RNA", at positions 775 to 1067 of the family's 1533-position model. The record is from RNAcentral.